This is a long non-coding RNA of Hyla sarda, 714 nucleotides long. RefSeq lists it as uncharacterized. The transcript is spliced from 3 exons. The record is from RefSeq and is a predicted model, not a curated record. Lineage: Eukaryota; Metazoa; Chordata; Amphibia; Anura; Hylidae.
GGAGGGGGGAUGAAUAUUCAUAAGCGGGCGUUGCGGACAGGCGGUGCUGACAUCACAGUUCAACUAGGCUCCUGAAAACCCCGCCCAUGCCAGUUACAGCCACAUUUGCAUAUAUAGAAAAACCAAGAUUGCGGGCAAACGGACGGACGGAUCCGGGCAAGGACUUCACCUCCACUGCCGUUCCCCUCGCCCUUCAACCAAGAGAUUAAUUCUACAAGAUUAAAAAAGACCUUCAUGCCCGGCUGCCAAGUCCCUUACUUAAAUCCCAAAUCAGAAUCAAUCUGGGACAGCCCAUCUGUUAAAUGGAGCCCACAGGUUGACAUUGCAGCUGUUCCCAUCACAUCUAGGAUAGGUGGGGUCAAGACGACACAUCUGACAAGAUGUAAGGAGCCAGUGGAACGGAGAUUCCUAAGAAACAGCUGAGCAUACGAUCUGGGGAGGCAGAGCCAACAUAUUUGAUCUCAUGGCACCAGCAUGUCACACAUAGAUGUACUGGAAUACAUGAUCGCUAACAUUCUGAAAAGUUAUGUACACCAUACUAGUCUCUUUACAUGGUACCACCUCUGUUACAAAUACUGGGUAAUGGGGUGCUAAAUGCCACUCUAUACCAUUUUGCCUGCCUAUAGGAGCAUUUCAACGUGAUCAUGACAAAAACUAAAGUUUAUUGCAACUAUUUACAGUCUUCGGCUAUAAAGUCGGUCUAUAAAGUACACU